GUGUUUAAUGCCCCUCCCUACCCUCCAUCUUGAGAGUUUGGCACACACAUCAGUUCUAGAUCAGCAUAGAUUCCUGGGAGAGAUAAAGCUCGCCACAAACCUCCAUCUCACUGCUCUGCCUUCCUUUCCUCUUCAUAAGUGGCACCAGCAGAGCACAGAAAAACAAAUGGUUUCAAGAACCUGGAGCUGGAUUCCUUUUCUGAUUUGUGGUCAGUGGAAGAAAAGGGAGCUGUAGGGUUCCUGACAAGGUAGAUGAGAGAAAAUACAAGAACCAGCUGCAGAAGGUGGAUGGUAUUCACUGGGCAGGGAAACUGCAUGGACUUUUUCCCUAAAAAAUUAGCUGGAGCAGAAAGAAAUGAAAAAAUUCAUUUUUUUUCAAGCAAGAAAGCAGGAUAUCAACCUUUUGCAGUUAUUUGAAGAGGAGCUAAAAGGCAGAAGAGAUGCAUGAAGACUUCAAGAUUUUUACCUAGAGAUGCAGAGAGAGCCUUCAGCUAGGAAAAAUAGUUAAAUAAUUUUGGAAAAUAUGGACAAUUACUCUCCAGGCCAUCUUUUCAACUGACUAGAAACCUGCACUCUCUGAAGUUCUGAAUCAG
Passer domesticus (house sparrow) is the source of this 593-nucleotide long non-coding RNA. RefSeq lists it as uncharacterized. The transcript has 5 exons. The record is from RefSeq and is a predicted model, not a curated record. NCBI's taxonomy places the organism in Eukaryota, Metazoa, Chordata, Aves, Passeriformes, Passeridae.